GGGCUCGCAGAGGGCAGAGCAGCUCUGGCACAGGCUAUGGGCAGUGAGAAGCCUCUUGCGUGUUUAGGGAGACUGGGCACUUCUGGUGCAGGCUACUGGUGGUAGGCACAUCUCGAUUGGGCCAAGGCCAUCGGGGGGCUAAGUGCCACAUGGUGCCUCUUGCACAAUCUACAGAUGACAGGGACAGACCGCAACGGUCCUCUCAGAGGCCAUAGGGAGGUAUGGCUUGCCACCAUUGGGGGCCUGUGAGUGGGCCCCACCUGUGACCCCAGUCACCUCAGGGGUUGACACAAAAGAAAAGAAGAGGGCACUGCAACCAAUCACCAUACGCAGGUGCUCUCACUCCCCUGGGAGCACACUCGCCCUGCUGCUGCCACUGCCAAACACUCUGGGCAGUGCCCGGAUGCUUCAUCACUGUCCCUUCCCAGGAACCUGCAACUAGGAGCAGCUUAUGCAGCACCUCCUCUGGGAGUUAAACAGGACAAGGUGCUUCUGCCAUGGUCUACAGGAGGUGGGGGCAAACCACCCCAGGUUGGAUCCAGAGGUGGGAGUGGCUUGCCACCACUGGGGUCCAUGAACACAUACCACUUGCAGCCCAUUCACCUCGAGGGCACCACGGAGGAGAGCACUGUGACCGAGCACCACCUGCUGGUGCUCUCACUCCCUGGGAACACACCUGCCCUCCUGCUGCCACUGCUGAAUGCCACAGGCAGUACCCACACGCCUGAUCUCUGUCACUUCCCAGGAUCCUAUAACUAGGAGCAGCCUGUACAGCACCUCCUAUGUGGGCUAAGUGAGACGGGUUGCUUCAUGCACCAUCUACAGGUGGCAGGGCAAACCACCACAGUUAUCACUGACUCCAGAGAUGGUCAUGGCCCGCUCCCACUAGGGGUCCCUGAACAGGCACCACCUGCGGUUCUCGUCACCUCAGAGGAGGGCAUUGCAAUCAAACACAAGGUGUUGUUGCUCUCGCUCCCCUGGGAACUCACGCACCCUGCUGCUGCCACUGCCGAAUGCUCUGGUCACCUUGUAGAUCUGCCUAGAGCUCAUCGCCACUUCCCAGGGCCCUGCAACUAGCAGUGGCCUGUGCCACCUUCCUGCAGGUCCUUGCUGCUGGUGAGAGCCCAGCAACCAGGCACAAACCACUGGCCCUACCCACUGCCUCCUUCUCCCUGAAAACACACUGAGUAUUCUGGGAAAUGCUGCCCACUCCAAAGAAAGAGACAGCAAAUAAUCAAACUCCUAUGCCAAAAAUAAAGAGUAACACCCCUCCCCCCAAAUAUACAGGGGUGAUCUUGCUUAGAAGUAGCCUUACAAGACCACAGUUUGGCUUCCCCAAACUCACAGAAAAAGAAAAGCAUAAGCAAGAUGAAGAAGCUCAGAAACCAUUCCCAGCUAAAGGAACAGAAGGAGUCACCUAAAGCCAUCAACAAUGAAAGAGACCUCUGCAGUCUGACAGACACUGAGUUCAAAAGGGAGACAGUGAAAAUCCUGAAGGAAUUAAGGCUGAAUAUCAAGGAAUUAAGAGAAGACACAAACAGGAAUGCAGACUCCCUUAGAAAGGAACUAGAAAAUGUAAGGAGGAGUCAAGGAAACCUAGAAAACUCAUUUGCAGAGAUGCAAACUGAGUUAAAGGCAAUAAAGACCAGAAUGAAUAAUGCAGAGGAACGAAUUAGUGACUGACGUGGAAGACAGAAUAACGGAAAUCACCCAAUCAGGACAGCAGACAGAAACCCAAAUGAAUAAACAUGAAAGCAAUAUAAGACACCUAUGGGAUCAUAUAAAGUGGGCCAAACUACGCAGAAUAGGAAUUCCAAAAGGAGAAGGAAAAGAAAAAGGGAUGGAAAAUAUAUUUGAAGAAAUCACGUCUGAAAACGUUCCAAAUCUGAAGGAUACUGAUAUCAAGAUGCAGGAAGCACAGAAGGCCCCAAACAGGUUGAACCCAAACAGGCCCACACCAAGACAUAAUAAAAAUGGCAAAAGUUAAAGAGAGGAUUCUAAAGGCAGCAAGAGAAAAGCAAAGCAUUAAAUAUAAGGGAACCCCCAUAAGGCUGUCAGCUAAUUUCACUACAGAAACACUACAGGCCAGAAGGGAGUGGCGAGAUAUAUUUAAGGUGCUCAAAGGAAAAAAUUUGCAACCUAGACUAUUCUAACUAGAAAGAAUAUCAUUUAAAAUAGAAGGGGGAAAUAAAGAAUUUCUCCAACAACAAAAGCUAAAGAGUACAGCAAUACUAAACCCAUUCUGAAACAAAUACUGAAAGGGCUUCUCUAAAUUUAAAAAAAAAAAGAGAGAGAGAGAGAGAGAAAAGAAAAAAAGAAGAAUUAGGAUGGAGGAAACCACAGCUGGAAAGCGAUCACUUAAAUAAGCCAGCACACAGGUCUAAACAUGAAGAUGUUCACA
Molecule: long non-coding RNA, 2401 nt
Filed under: Sus scrofa (pig)
Lineage: Eukaryota; Metazoa; Chordata; Mammalia; Artiodactyla; Suidae
Description: lncRNA (ENSSSCG00050018644.1)
Source: RNAcentral